This 221-nucleotide unclassified non-coding RNA is filed under the name plant metagenome. Its description in RNAcentral is "partial contains small subunit ribosomal RNA, internal transcribed spacer 1, and 5.8S ribosomal RNA". The record is from RNAcentral.
UCUCCGUAGGUGAACCUGCGGAGGGAUCAUUACAGAGUUCGCGCCCUCGCGGGUAGAUCUCCCACCCUGUGUUAUUCCUACCUUUGUUGCUUUGGCGGGCCGCCCUCGGCUACCGGCCCCGGCUGGUACGCGCCCGCCAGAGGACCCCAAACCCUGAACGUCAGUGUCGUCUGAGUACUAUACAAUAGUUAAAACUUUCAACAACGGAUCUCUUGGUUCUG